Molecule: small nuclear RNA, 353 nt
Filed under: Octodon degus (degu)
Lineage: Eukaryota; Metazoa; Chordata; Mammalia; Rodentia; Octodontidae
Description: 7SK RNA (ENSODEG00000024059.1)
Rfam family: 7SK RNA
About the family: 7SK was discovered as an abundant small nuclear RNA in the mid-70s but a possible function has only recently been suggested. Two independent studies have found that 7SK RNA binds the CDK9/cyclin T complex (known as elongation factor P-TEFb). P-TEFb activates transcription by phosphorylating the C-terminal domain of RNA polymerase II.
Source: Rfam by way of RNAcentral
GGAUGUGAGGGCAAUCUGGCUGUGACACCUGUCACCCCAUUGAUCCCAGGGGUUGAUUCGGCUGAUCUGGCUGGCUAGGCAGAUGUCCCCUUCUGCUUGCAACACUCCAUGUGCGUCCUUCCCAAAGCUGCAUGCUCGGGCAGAGAGAACAACCACCCUCAAUGGAGGAGGACCGUUCCUUGGUCAGGGGUGUACGAGUAGCUGCGCUCCCCUGCUAGGCCCUCCAAGCAAGCUCUCAAGGAAGACAUUGCCAUAUUGGCUUAGUGAGCAGGUGGGUCUGCCAGGGGAUGGGUUGUGUCAUCCAUCCACUCUGAGUAGGGCAAACAGGCGCAGGAAGGGCUGUCUCUCUGUUU